Molecule: ribosomal RNA, 466 nt
Filed under: uncultured bacterium
Lineage: Bacteria
Description: partial 16S ribosomal RNA
Rfam family: Bacterial small subunit ribosomal RNA
Source: RNAcentral
CGAACGCUGGCGGCGUGCUUAACACAUGCAAGUCGACCGGAAAGGCCCUGCUUUUGUGGGGUGCUCGAGUGGCGAACGGGUGAGUAACACGUGAGUAGCCUGCCCUUGACUUUGGGAUAACUUCAGGAAACUGGGGCUAAUACCGGAUAGGAGCUCCUGCUGCAUGGUGGGGGUUGGAAAGUUUCGGCGGUUGGGGAUGGACUCGCGGCUUAUCAGCUUGUUGGUGGGGUAGUGGCUUACCAAGGCUUUGACGGGUAGCCGGCCUGAGAGGGUGACCGGCCACAUUGGGACUGAGAUACGGCCCAGACUCCUACGGGAGGCAGCAGUGGGGAAUAUUGCACAAUGGGCGGAAGCCUGAUGCAGCAACGCCGCGUGCGGGAUGACGGCCUUCGGGUUGUAAACCGCUUUCGCCUGUGACGAAGCGUGAGUGACGGUAAUGGGUAAAGAAGCACCGGCUAACUACGUG